GGGAUUGCCCUAGUAACGGCGAGUGAAGCGGCAACAGCUCAAAUUUGAAAUCUGGCCCUCGGGUCCGAGUUGUAAUUUGUAGAGGAUGCUUUUGGUGAGGUGCCUUCCGAGUUCCCUGGAACGGGACGCCAUAGAGGGUGAGAGCCCCGUCUGGUUGGACACCGAGCCUCUGUAAAGCUCCUUCGACGAGUCGAGUAGUUUGGGAAUGCUGCUCUAAAUGGGAGGUAUAUGUCUUCUAAAGCUAAAUACCGGCCAGAGACCGAUAGCGCACAAGUAGAGUGAUCGAAAGAUGAAAAGCACUUUGAAAAGAGAGUUAAAAAGUACGUGAAAUUGUUGAAAGGGAAGCGCUUAUGACCAGACUUGGGCUUGGUUGAUCAUCCUGGGUUCUCCCUGGUGCACUCUUCCAGUUCAGGCCAGCAUCAGUUCGCUGCGGGGGAUAAAAGUUUUGGGAAUGUGGCUCCUUCGGGAGUGUUAUAGCCCAUUUCAUAAUACCCUGCUCCGGACUGAGGUUCGCGCAUCUGCAAGGAUGCUGGCGUAAUGGUCAUCAGCGACCCGUCUUGAAACACGGACCAAGGAGUCGUCUUCGUAUGCGAGUGUUCGGGUGUUAAACCCCUACGCGUAAUGAAAGUGAACGCAGGUGAGAGCUUCGGCGCAUCAUCGACCGAUCCUGAUGUUCUCGGAUGGAUUUGAGUAAGAGCAUACGGGGCCGGACCCGAAAGAAGGUGAACUAUGCCUGUAUAGGGUGAAGCCAGAGGAAACUCUGGUGGAGGCUCGCAGCGGUUCUGACGUGCAAAUCGAUCGUCAAUAUGGGCAUGGGGGCGAAAGACUAAUCGAACCUUCUAGUAGCUGGUUUCCGCCGA
This 860-nucleotide ribosomal RNA is filed under the name Calonectria pauciramosa. RNAcentral describes it as "LSU rRNA". It matches the Rfam family "Eukaryotic large subunit ribosomal RNA", at positions 71 to 964 of the family's 3401-position model. Lineage: Eukaryota; Fungi; Ascomycota; Sordariomycetes; Hypocreales; Nectriaceae. The record is from RNAcentral.